AUACGUAGGUGACAAGCGUUAUCCGGAUUUACUGGGCGUAAAGGGCGUGUAGGCGGUCUUGCAAGUCAGAAGUGAAAUUCCUGAGCUCAACUCGGGCGCUGCUUCUGAAACUGCAGGACUUGAGUGCUGGAGGGGAUAGCGGAAUUCCUAGUGGAGCGGUAAAAUGCGCAGAUAUUAGGAAGAACACCGGUGGCGAAGGCGGCUAUCUGGACAGUAACUGACGCUGAGGCGCGAAAGCGUGGGGAGCAAACAGGAUUAGAUACCCUGGUAGUCCGCGCCGUAAACGAUGAAUACUAGGUGUAGGGGGUAUCGACUCCCUCUGUGCCGCAGUUAACACAAUAAGUAUUCCGCCUGGGGAGUACGGCCGCAAGGUUGAAACUCAAAUGAAUUGACGGGG
This 397-nucleotide ribosomal RNA is filed under the name uncultured bacterium. RNAcentral describes it as "partial 16S ribosomal RNA". It matches the Rfam family "Bacterial small subunit ribosomal RNA", at positions 523 to 918 of the family's 1533-position model. The record is from RNAcentral.